RNAcentral lists this ribosomal RNA (1575 nucleotides) under Tulostoma brumale. Its description in RNAcentral is "eukaryotic LSU rRNA". The stretch from base 616 to 1575 matches the Rfam family "Eukaryotic large subunit ribosomal RNA", at positions 1 to 948 of the family's 3401-position model. The record is from RNAcentral. Lineage: Eukaryota; Fungi; Basidiomycota; Agaricomycetes; Agaricales; Agaricaceae.
CAUUAUUGAAUAAACCUGAUGGGUUGUUGCUGGCUUCUCCGGAAGUAUGUGCACACCUGUCAUCUUUAUCCAUCCACCUGUGCACCCUUUGUAGUCUUGGAGAUAAUGAGCGCAAAGCGUCUUGGGGAUCACACUCCUUGAUGUUAGUGCAAGUUUCUCUUGGUCUAUGUCUUUCAUAUACCACGUCGAAUGUAAUAGAAAGUUUUUAUUGGGCCUCAGUGCCUAUAAAACACAAUACAACUUUCAGCAACGGAUCUCUUGGCUCUCGCAUCGAUGAAGAACGCAGCGAAAUGCGAUAAGUAAUGUGAAUUGCAGAAUUCAGUGAAUCAUCGAAUCUUUGAACGCACCUUGCGCUCCUUGGUAUUCCGAGGAGCAUGCCUGUUUGAGUGUCAUUUAAUUCUCAAUCCCCACUAGUUUUUUGUGACUGGCUUGGUGGAUUGGAUGUGGGGGUAUUGUUUGCGGGCCUCUUCAGAGGUCGGCUCCCCUAAAAAGCAUUAGCGGAACUGUUUGCGGACCCGUCACUGGUGUGAUAAUUAUCUACGCCAACGACAACUGCUCUCUGGUAGUUCUGCUUCUAACCGUCCUUUUACUUGGACAAUCAUAUAUUUGAAUGCUUGACCUCAAAUCAGGUAGGACUACCCGCUGAACUUAAGCAUAUCAAUAAGCGGAGGAAAAGAAACUAACAAGGAUUCCCCUAGUAACUGCGAGUGAAGCGGGAAAAGCUCAAAUUUAAAAUCUGGCGGUCUUUGGCCGUCCGAGUUGUAAUCUAGAGAAGCGUUACCCGCGUUGGACCGUGUACAAGUCUCCUGGGAUGGAGCAUCAUAGAGGGUGAGAAUCCCGUCUCUGACACGGACUACCAGGGCUUUGUGGUGCACUCUCAAAGAGUCGAGUGGUUUGGGAAUGCAGCUCUAAACGGGUGGUAAAUUCCAUCUAAAGCUAAAUAUUGGCGAGAGACCGAUAGCGAACAAGUACCGUGAGGGAAAGAUGAAAAGAACUUUGGAAAGAGAGUUAAACAGUACGUGAAAUUGCUGAAAGGGAAACGCUUGAAGUCAGUCGCGUUGUCCGGGGAUCAGCCUCGCUCCUGCGUGGUGUACUUCCUGGUUGACGGGUCAGCAUCAAUUUUGACCGCUGGAAAAGGACUUGGGGAAUGUGGCAUCUUCGGAUGUGUUAUAGCCCCUUGUCGCAUACGGCGGUUGGGAUUGAGGAACUCAGCACGCCGCAAGGCCGGGUUUCGACCACGUUCGUGCUUAGGAUGCUGGCAUAAUGGCUUUAAUCGACCCGUCUUGAAACACGGACCAAGGAGUCUAACAUACCUGCGAGUGUUUGGGUGGAAAACCCGAGCGCGCAAUGAAAGUGAAAGUUGAGAUCCCUGUCGUGGGGAGCAUCGACGCCCGGACCAGAACUUUUGGGACGGAUCUGCGGUAGAGCAUGUAUGUUGGGACCCGAAAGAUGGUGAACUAUGCCUGAAUAGGGUGAAGCCAGAGGAAACUCUGGUGGAGGCUCGUAGCGAUUCUGACGUGCAAAUCGAUCGUCAAAUUUGGGUAUAGGGGCGAAAGACUAAUCGAACCAUCUAGU